This 443-nucleotide ribosomal RNA is filed under the name uncultured bacterium. RNAcentral describes it as "bacterial SSU rRNA". It matches the Rfam family "Bacterial small subunit ribosomal RNA", at positions 29 to 518 of the family's 1533-position model. The record is from RNAcentral.
AACGAACGCUGGCGGCAUGCCUAACACAUGCAAGUCGAACGAAGUCUUCGGACUUAGUGGCGCACGGGUGCGUAACGCGUGGGAAUCUGCCCUUGGGUGCGGAAUAACUUCUCGAAAGGGAUGCUAAUACCGCAUAAUGUCGUAAGACCAAAGAUUUAUCGCCCAAGGAUGAGCCCGCGUAAGAUUAGCUAGUUGGUGGGGUAAAAGCCUACCAAGGCGACGAUCUUUAGCUGGUCUGAGAGGAUGAUCAGCCACACUGGGACUGAGACACGGCCCAGACUCCUACGGGAGGCAACAGUGGGGAAUAUUGGACAAUGGGCGAAAGCCUGAUCCAGCAAUGCCGCGUGAGUGAUGAAGGCCCUAGGGUUGUAAAGCUCUUUACCAGGGAUGAUAAUGACAGUACCUGGAGAAUAAGCUCCGGCUAACUCCGUGCCAGCAGCCGC